UGAUUGAGGUGAUUCGGGCUGCAACAUCUGCACCCCAUUGAUCGCCAGGGUUUGAUUUGGCUGAUCUGCUGGCUAGGCUGGUGGCCCCUUCCUCCCUCACCGGCUCCAUGUCGUCCCUUCCCAAGCGCAAGCUCAGUUGAGAGACGACCAAUCCCCGUGAGGAGGACCGUUCUUCGCGUCAUAGGUAUACGAGUAGCCUGCGCUCCCUCAGAACCUCCCAGAACAGCCUCAGCCCAUUUACUACAAAAAAUAAAAAUAAAAAAAAUAUUGAUUAUUU
Molecule: small nuclear RNA, 277 nt
Filed under: Castor canadensis (American beaver)
Lineage: Eukaryota; Metazoa; Chordata; Mammalia; Rodentia; Castoridae
Description: 7SK RNA (ENSCCNG00000011612.1)
Rfam family: 7SK RNA
About the family: 7SK was discovered as an abundant small nuclear RNA in the mid-70s but a possible function has only recently been suggested. Two independent studies have found that 7SK RNA binds the CDK9/cyclin T complex (known as elongation factor P-TEFb).
Source: Rfam by way of RNAcentral